UGAGUUUGCCGUUGCAAUAGAGCGGUCUAACGCCACGGCCAUUAGGAUUAUACCCUUUUUAUUACUGUUCCUUUUUUCUUUUUAGGUUCUUCACAAAAAAAUAGAAAACCUAGAAUUGCUCUCUGCCUCUCUCUCUCCUCAAAAUCUUAGAACAAUCUGAUAACCUCCUUCACUCCUUGUUCGCUGCUCCACCGCUACCGUCGCCGUCGGCUGGCUUCUUCCAAUCUUUCGUUCUUCGCUGCCUCACACCUUAGUCCUCACCGGCCUCCUGUAGUCCAGUAGAUCGACCGUCGCCCAUGACCCGUCGUGCCUCAUUGCCUCACAGGAUCUCGGCCGUCGUUGCUGCCACACCGUCGGCCGUCUUCGAUGCAUCAAUGUCUUCUUCUCCUUUCAACCUUUUAUCUCUUUCCUCCUAAUCUUCACAAAAAUCAGGUGCAUGGGGAGCUAAAUGGAGCUGAAGCAUAGUAACUAGCUAGUCAUUUAACAAAUGGU
Chenopodium quinoa (quinoa) is the source of this 492-nucleotide long non-coding RNA. RefSeq lists it as uncharacterized. The transcript has 3 exons. The record is from RefSeq and is a predicted model, not a curated record. NCBI's taxonomy places the organism in Eukaryota, Viridiplantae, Streptophyta, Magnoliopsida, Caryophyllales, Amaranthaceae.